AGAUCUGAAGCCAAAACGAGAAAAUGGGCAUCCAGGACUGCUUCCCUCGCUCGGGACACUAUUCAGAAAAGAAGGAAAAUGCACACAUUACAAAAAAACACAUGAUCAACAGCGUUGCUUCAGAGUGACAGUGAAUGAGAGAAGGAAACAGGGACCAUGCUGGAGAACAUUCCAGGCCUGCCCCAGGCUCCCUCGCCCAGCAACCCCCACUGAGCCUGUGAGGAAAAUGCAAACCUCCCUGUCACGGCUGCUGGAAGCCUCCAACAAGUUAAAACCGAGGACAUCAAAUCCAUAAAAGCCAAGGAUCUAGAAUUCUGUGUUUGAGGACCACCUCCUAGCGCCCUGCUGAGUGAAUCAUUUUGCCCAUAAGAAGUGACUCAGUCAGCAAAGUGGGAAGAGCCAAGGGGUAAGUGACCUGUAGACUGGGAACUAAGAAGAUGCACAAUACAGUGUCAAGGGAGGGGAUGAGUCAGGAGGAACCUGGAGGGGACGCCUGGGGGCCCAGGCGUGGGGGAGAAGAAAAAGCUCCAGAGGGUGAAAGGCGAAGGCUCAGCUCUGGAAGGUUUUGAUUACAGUUAGCAAACGUGGAAGACUGUGAAGGGGAAUAGUACGGAGUCUGUGACCAGAGCUAGAAAGACACAAAUGUGAGAGCAUAUGGACAGAAAAAUGUUAGGAGGAGACAUUUAAACCAUUAGCCACACCAGGGAAUGACUAGAAAUCCAGGUUCUGGCCCUGGAAGAAUGAGGAAUUCUGGGGUGGGGCAGCCCAAGUUCUGUUGAUGCUUUUUUUUUAACCGCUGGCUUUGCAUUCUCCCUUCCCGUUCUCAUGGAACUGCUGGAGAGAGGCCCAGAGGGUCCUGUCCUAGGGCUCUGGGACCCAGUGCCCACAUCAGGGGACACCCUGACCUGUCCUCUGCCAUUGAACAAACUGCUGCUAACCACUGCGGCCACUUUUAAUUCAAACCAAGAUGGUUUUUGAAAGCCCCCUCUUCCCAUGGUCUAGAGCUCAGUGCUCUGAGAUUUCUCUCUUUCUCUCAUACCCCUGACUGGAGACCAACAGGUCCACUUGAAGACACGGCCACACAGACCUCAAGAUGGGUGGGUGGUGGCGGAGGGACAGGAAAAGAAACAGGAUGUCAGAGGCCAGCUCAGUUCUUCCUUAAUUCAUCCAUUCAACAAAUGUAUCCUGGGAUACAGCAGUAAAUACCGUAGAAAGAUAAAAGAUAAUACAUGUAAAGUUCUCAACCUUGAGCACGCUUUUGGGGCUUGUUAAAAUACUGCUGCCCCCAUCCCCAGAAUUUCAUGUAAAGCCCUAUGUUUAGAGAAUGGGAAGGGCAAUAAAUGUAUAAUCGCUACAGCGAAAAAGGUUCCAAAACUAGUAAAGCACUAUUAUAAAUGUG
Molecule: long non-coding RNA, 1399 nt
Organism: Manis pentadactyla (Chinese pangolin)
Lineage: Eukaryota; Metazoa; Chordata; Mammalia; Pholidota; Manidae
Exons: 2
Source: RefSeq, a predicted model, not a curated record